Molecule: small RNA, 132 nt
Filed under: Klebsiella quasipneumoniae subsp. similipneumoniae
Lineage: Bacteria; Pseudomonadati; Pseudomonadota; Gammaproteobacteria; Enterobacterales; Enterobacteriaceae
Also listed under: 6 other names
Description: RtT sRNA
Rfam family: RtT RNA
About the family: This family represents a bacterial cis-regulatory element known as RtT RNA.
Source: RNAcentral
UAUUCUGCCCUACGGGGAAGGAUGAGAAGCUUCGACUAAGGUUCGACUCGAGCGUAGCGAGAGAACGUUGCCGCAGGCAACGGCCCGAAGGGCGAGGCGCUUUAGCGCCGAGUAAUCCUUCCCCCACCGCUG